GCCGUUUGAAGGUCGCGCGCUUGUAGAGCGGAAAGAGCUGGAAGAAGAGCUUGAUCUUCAGCCAGCGGCCGUAGAUCCCGUAAGGCUCGAACAGGAUAAACAGCAUGAUGAUCAGGCCGUAGAUCGCGCCCUUCAGUCCGUUGGCCGAGGCGAUCGCCGCAACAUUCGCCUUGAUAUGCGCNCUGCUCGGCGCCCGCACCGAAUGUCGCGGCAAGUCCGGCGAUCACGCCGGGAAUAUCAUCC
This 243-nucleotide unclassified non-coding RNA is filed under the name Hevea brasiliensis (rubber tree). Lineage: Eukaryota; Viridiplantae; Streptophyta; Magnoliopsida; Malpighiales; Euphorbiaceae. The record is from RNAcentral.